GUGGGUAGUUUGACUGGGGCGGUCUCCUCCUAAAGAGUAACGGAGGAGCACGAAGGUUGGCUAAUCCUGGUCGGACAUCAGGAGGUUAGUGCAAUGGCAUAAGCCAGCUUGACUGCGAGCGUGACGGCGCGAGCAGGUGCGAAAGCAGGUCAUAGUGAUCCGGUGGUUCUGAAUGGAAGGGCCAUCGCUCAACGGAUAAAAGGUACUCCGGGGAUAACAGGCUGAUACCGCCCAAGAGUUCAUAUCGACGGCGGUGUUUGGCACCUCGAUGUCGGCUCAUCACAUCCUGGGGCUGAAGUAGGUCCCAAGGGUAUGGCUGUUCGCCAUUUAAAGUGGUACGCGAGCUGGGUUUAGAACGUCGUGAGACAGUUCGGUCCCUAUCUGCCGUGGGCGCUGGAGAACUGAGGGGGGCUGCUCCUAGUACGAGAGGACCGGAGUGGACGCAUCACUGGUGUUCGGGUUGUCAUGCCAAUGGCACUGCCCGGUAGCUAAAUGCGGAAGAGAUAAGUGCUGAAAGCAUCUAAGCACGAAACUUGCCCCGAGAUGAGUUCUCCCUGAGACUUUAGGUCUCCUGAAGGAACGUUGAAGACGACGACGUUGAUAGGCCGGGUGUGUAAGCGCAGCGAUGCGUUGAGCUAACCG
This 642-nucleotide ribosomal RNA is filed under the name Salmonella enterica subsp. enterica serovar Muenchen. RNAcentral describes it as "partial 23S ribosomal RNA". It matches the Rfam family "Bacterial large subunit ribosomal RNA", at positions 2261 to 2897 of the family's 2925-position model. Lineage: Bacteria; Pseudomonadati; Pseudomonadota; Gammaproteobacteria; Enterobacterales; Enterobacteriaceae. RNAcentral also lists the same sequence under 3 other names. The record is from RNAcentral.